GGUUUCUUUGAGGCAUUCGGUCAUGAGACUUUUGCCCAUACACGUAUUUGUGUGUGGUCUCUAGAAUAUGGCAUCUAAUGUGUUCAAAUUUUAAUAAUUUUUGUGUACUAGUAUAUACAUUGCUUCAAUUAAGCAUGGUAUUAUUGUCUGCAAUUUGUUUAUAAUGAGCAUACCAAAGCUUGUCUUCAAUUUAGUCUGAAUUGUUUGUGCAUUUUGGUCUAUGAUAAAAACUCAUUUAGGCAACAAAUUUUUGCAAAUGUUUGGGAAAAUGUUUAGCUUUAUAUAUAUCUUGAUGAUUUCAAAUAGCUAUAAUUGCGGAGUUAUUUCAUUCAAAUCCAUCCAUUUGAAACUAUAAUAACAUUAUUUAACUAAUCCAAAAGAUAGUAUCUGUUGAUGCAAAUAUUACAGAGAGAUUAUAAUUUAGUGAUGGACUUUUUUGAAGUACUGAUUUGUGGUGGUUUGUUAGCAGAUGCCAAUCUUUCAAAUCAGAUUCAAUCCUAUCCCCCUUUUUUGUUGUAAAAAGGUAUAAAUACAUAUAAUGGAAUUGUCAAAAUCUCUCUCUCUCUCUCUCUCUCUCUCCAUUGACAUUAGUGACCUAAAUUUUGUUAUUUGAGUACAUAUCCUAGGAAGAAUUGGCCUGUGGAAUUCACUUCUUUGUCUACAUCAGUAAAAUACCAUGAGCUGUUCGGGAGGAGGAUUUGAACCCUUCUUCAAGAAAAUAAUCACCGUCAAACAAUUUUCUAAGGAAACAAUCACUGUCAAGAAUUUUCUAAGCUAUUAAAUUUCCACAAACAUCCCACUCGGUUUUGGCAUUUACAUCACAUUAUUACUUGCUCCAUGUCAUCAUAGACUUCAUGUUUCCCUGCAUCAAAGAAAAAAUGAAAAAAUAAAAAACUAAAUGUGCAACCACCUUAUAUUCUGCUUUCGACCAUUCAAAAUCUUAAAAACAAAGUCAAGGUCUUUCUUUACAAAGUUGACAUUUUUUAUUUAAUUAUUAUUAUUAUUUUUUAUAGUCCUACUCCUACAAAUAGGUUUCCAACAUUAAUCCUAGGUUGAGGGAACAUAUAGUUCAAUUUGAUCAUUUUCGCUGCCAUGGAGGUGAAGGUAAAGCCUAGUUUUUAGUGAAAUUUCGCUAUUAUUCAUUCUAGUUCUUUCAAAUUCAUGGCUCUUGUUCUUUGCAUUUCUAUGCAAAAAAUAGAGGUGAAAGUCAACAUUCACUGCCAUAAGUGCAAAAGCAAUAUAUUGAAGUCGUCACUAAACUUCAAGAUAUCGGUGGAUAGUGAGAAGGGGAUACUAACCGUUAUUGGGAAUGUUGAUCCUGUUUUAGUUGCAACCCAAGUGAGGAAGACCAGAAAGGUAGCAGAUCUCAUUGGUGUUGGUCCACCGAAGGCUAAAGAGAAAAGGCCCGACCCCCCUAAGUUUGAACUCGCUAAAUGUAUACCUGACCAUUGUAAUGAAUGCUAGCUUUUAGCUGUCAGCUAUGCUGUUCCCUAUGACAACAAUCCAUUUUGCUCUAUCUUGUGAGGGAUUAUAGCAUCUAAUGUGUCAAAUUUUAUUGAUAUACAUUGAUUCAAUUAUGCAUAAUAUUGUCUGCAUUGUUGCGGUCCCCUCAC
Camellia sinensis is the source of this 1613-nucleotide non-coding RNA. Lineage: Eukaryota; Viridiplantae; Streptophyta; Magnoliopsida; Ericales; Theaceae. The record is from RefSeq and is a predicted model, not a curated record.